CGCAUCUGUGCAUGCAGCAUAUCAAUAAGCGGAGGAAAGGAAACUAACAAGGAUUCCCUUAGUAACGGCGAGUGAAGCGGGAAGAGCUCAAAUUUGAAAUCUUCAAGGUUUUACCUUGACGAAUUGUAGUUUAAAGAAGUGUUUUCUGCUGAAGUUUUGGUAAAAGUUCUUUGGAAUAGGACAUCAUAGAGGGUGAGAAUCCCGUAUUUGACCAUUAUUUUCAGCUUUGUGAUACACUUUCAAAGAGUCGGAUUGUUUGGGAAUGCAGUCCAAAAUGGGUGGUAAAUUUCAUCUAAAGCUAAAUAUUGGCGAGAGACCGAUAGCGAACAAGUACCGUGAGGGAAAGAUGAAAAGAACUUUGAAAAGAGAGUUAAACAGUACGUGAAAUUGUCAAAAGGGAAGCGUUUGACACCAGUGUUGUUUUCUCGAAAAUCAAUUAAAAAUGGCUCGAUUUUGUAUUGCUGAGACCUUGAAAGCUCACUGUACAUUUUUCGUGUCUUUUUUAAUGCACUUUUCGUUUAACAAGUCAACAUCAGUUUCUUUUGUUGUAAAAGGGUCAUUGGAAGGUGGCUUUCUUUUCGGAGAAAGUGUUUAUAGCCUUUGGCCUCUGCAAUCGGAGAGACUGAGGUCUGCAGCGUAGACUCUUCGGGGUUAGAUACAUUCGUGCUAAGUUAUAGCUUUUUAUAGACAACUUGUUGACUAUAAUUAGUCUUGUAGCUUACUCGCUUAUGCUAUUUUACCUACGCUUAGGAUGUUGAAGUCAUCGUAUCGCGCAUGCUCGAUCUAUACAUGAGUCUGUGCAUAUCAAUAAGCGGAGGAAAAGGAAUAUCAUUACGGCGAAAUGAAACUACCUACGCUUAGGAUGUUGACGCAUGAGAUAUACGC
RNAcentral lists this ribosomal RNA (885 nucleotides) under uncultured Neocallimastigales. RNAcentral describes it as "partial large subunit ribosomal RNA". It matches the Rfam family "Eukaryotic large subunit ribosomal RNA", at positions 26 to 627 of the family's 3401-position model. The record is from RNAcentral. Lineage: Eukaryota; Fungi; Neocallimastigomycota; Neocallimastigomycetes; Neocallimastigales.